AAAUCAAACCCUACCCUAUGAAGAAUUUGUGAAUUAUUUUCCCUCCAUUUCCCACCCCAUUCUCCAAAAAUUAUUUAAAAUUUUCUCCAUUUAGAAUGGGGCUCCAUAGAACCCCAAACCCGUGGAGGAUUUUGUCAUCCCUAGUGAAAAUCGAACUAAACCGACAAACUGAUCGGUUCUUCUACUUGAAACAAAAAAAAAUUAAAAAUAUAAAUAUAAAUAAAUGAAGAAUUUCUAAACCCUAAAAUCACAUACACACACAACCCCGUCCCCAUCUCUCUCACACCAGUCGACACACACCCUCACCAUCUCUCUCCUCAUCUCACAUCGACACAAACACUCCCCAUCCACCGUCGUCACUUAUCAGCCACCCGUUCGUUGUUUAUCUCACCAUGACGCUGCUGUCAUUGCCACUGUAGUCAGCCUGUCGUAGUUCGUCCUGUCGCGUUUGUGUCAGCCUCGCCUUGGUUCAUCAAGCUCGUGUCAGCCUCCCCUUUCGUUCGUCGCGAUCGUAUCGUUGGCAGCCUGCCAUUGCUAUCGCGUCGGUGUAGUUAUGUAACUUGUGUUGGCUUUUUUUUUAUUUAUUCAUUGAUUAUUCCUUAAAAAAAUUCCUUAAUUUGUGAGUUGGGAUUCUUAGAUUGGGAUUAAAUUUGUUGUUGUUUUAUAAAUAAGUUCUCUGAAUGAAUCAAGAAGCUAACGAGCAAUAUUUUCACCAGUAAAAUGGUAUCGUCAUCCAAACUAAACAAAGUCGAACCAUUUCGAACCGAACCAAACUUUAAAACUAAACCGAACCAAACUGAAAUUUCAGUUCGGUUUCAAAUUCAGUUUGUAUUCAGUUUCAAUUUUGAAAAAUCGAUCGAUUCCAAUUUGGUUCGGUUCUAAGCUUGAACUGAACCAAAUUGGAUAGUGCCCAGCCCUAGUUUAUAGAUGUGCUUGACUUCGAUAGACUCAACAGAGUUUUUAUCGAUAAAUGUUAUCCCUUAAAAAUUUUAAAAUAAUAUUCUUAUGCAUAGAAAAAUAUCAUUUAUUUAUUAACUAAUUUUGAGUUCUUAAUAAAUUCGAGGGAACAGGUUUGAUUCAUUUUAGGAGAAAGUUUGAGAUAGGACAGUUCUUAUUUGCCCCUCCAACAAAAUUUUAACUAAUGCUUGAAAUUUUGUCUCUUAUUUAUCCUAGCUAUUAGAGAUGUUCAAAAUACUAUUCAAUUUGUUCAAUCUGUAGAAAUACAAAUAGAUUGGAUUGGAUUGGAUUGAAAAUUCUAAAAUCUACAGUUGAUGGAUUAGAUAUGUAUUUACUUGUAGAAAUCCAUAAAUUUACAAAAGAAGAAGAAGAAGAACAACAACAAUAAUAAUAAUAAAUUUUAUUUAAUUUAAACAAAAAAAAUAA
Molecule: long non-coding RNA, 1383 nt
Filed under: Citrus x clementina
Lineage: Eukaryota; Viridiplantae; Streptophyta; Magnoliopsida; Sapindales; Rutaceae
Description: Citrus clementina (C. clementina) long non-coding RNA (CCLE_LNC001503)
Source: RNAcentral